This is a long non-coding RNA of Thalassophryne amazonica, 523 nucleotides long. RefSeq lists it as uncharacterized. The record is from RefSeq and is a predicted model, not a curated record. The transcript has 2 exons. NCBI's taxonomy places the organism in Eukaryota, Metazoa, Chordata, Actinopteri, Batrachoidiformes, Batrachoididae.
CUUUACUUGGUGGUUCCUAGGUGGUGCCAAUGGGGUUCUGGCUAAUUGCUAAUAUAAUGGUGGUGAUUAUGGUAAUAGGUUGGGAUCUGGGUCUUGGCUGAGACUUUACUUGUUGGUUCCUAGGUGGUGCCUGUGAUAUUCUGGCUGGUUGCUAGGAUACUGAUGUGGGCUUGGCAGUUGGUGGUUAUAUGAUGUUUUUGGCACUUGUUAGUACAUAACUAGGGGUUUAAUAUGUUGUUUUGAUUUGCGUUGAAGAAAUCAAUUAAUGCUUAAUGACUUAAUGGUUGUAAGCUGAUGGUUAAUAUUCGGUUAUACAGUUGCUAAGAUACUGUUUGGUGGUUGCUCUGAUAUGGCCAUCAUAUCCUACGUCACUAUCUGGUGUUGGUUCAAAUUAGGGCUACAGCUAUGAUUGUAGUCAUUUAAUUGAUUGAACAUUUUUUCAGUUAAUCUAACAAUUAUUUUUUUGAUUGAUGUGAUUGAUUUCUGAUUAGUUGAUUAAUUAUUUCAUUAACUUAUCAAUAAA